Molecule: transfer RNA, 76 nt
Filed under: Erysipelotrichaceae bacterium
Lineage: Bacteria; Bacillati; Bacillota; Erysipelotrichia; Erysipelotrichales; Erysipelotrichaceae
Also listed under: 1 other name
Description: tRNA-Thr
Rfam family: tRNA
About the family: Transfer RNA (tRNA) molecules are approximately 80 nucleotides in length. Their secondary structure includes four short double-helical elements and three loops (D, anti-codon, and T loops).
Source: RNAcentral
GCCGACAUAGCUCUAACGGUAGAGCACAUCCAUGGUAAGGAUGGGGUUGCCAGUUCGAAUCUGGCUGUCGGCACCA